GCCCUUGUAGCUCAGUCGGCAGAGCGCAUCCUUGGUAAGGAUGAGGUCGGCGGUUCGAAUCCGCUCGGGGGCUCCA
This 76-nucleotide transfer RNA is filed under the name Puniceicoccales bacterium. Its description in RNAcentral is "tRNA-Thr". It matches the Rfam family "tRNA". From Rfam's summary of the family: Transfer RNA (tRNA) molecules are approximately 80 nucleotides in length. The record is from RNAcentral. Lineage: Bacteria; Pseudomonadati; Verrucomicrobiota; Opitutia; Puniceicoccales.